Alexandromys fortis (reed vole) is the source of this 1860-nucleotide RNA transcript. It is a transcript of the gene named WD repeat domain 73, with no coding region annotated. Lineage: Eukaryota; Metazoa; Chordata; Mammalia; Rodentia; Cricetidae. The transcript has 9 exons. The record is from RefSeq and is a predicted model, not a curated record.
GGGCAAGGGCAGCAGGGAUCCCGGGGUGGGCUCGCGGGUGGUGCCCAGACACGGCCGGGCGGGGAGGGUCCUGAUUCCCGGCCUCUCGCUCUAGGACACUCGGUCCUUUUGUAAGCAAGUGAUGAGGCCAGAUGCUCGCUCAUUCGUGAAGACUGGUUAUGUUGCGCUGGCCUCUAACCCAGGUUUUCCAGUGAUCAUCUCAUCUUGGGAAAAUCAGCUCUGCGGAACCCCGGUAGUUCCACAGAUAAGAAUGGGGUACCAAGAUUUCCACGCGUUUGACCUUUCAGGGGCCACUCGAGUCCUUGAGUGGAUCGGUGAAAAAGGAGUCUUUGUUGCUGGUUUUGAAAGUUCGAAAAAAAAUGAGAUCCUUCAUUUGAUACUGCCGCUCAGACUCUCUGUAAAGGAGAACCAGGGUUUAUUCCCGGAGAGAGAUUUUAAAGUGUGCCAUGGAGGAUUUUCAGACAGAUCUGUCUUCGACCUAAAGCACGUGCCAGAUACCAGGUUGCUGGUGACCAGUGGCCUUCCCGGGCGUUACUUGCAGGUGUGGCAGACUGGAGAGGACAAUGAUGUUAUCGAAGCCGUCCGUACCAUUGAUGUGCAGGACAGAGAGGAGAGUCUCUGGCCUCGGGUGUCUGUCUUCUCCUCUGCAGCACCUGGAAUCCUCCACGGGACUCGGCUCAGUGGCCUGAGGACUGUGGACAUAGAAUCCCAGAAGAUCACAUACAGCUCAGGUACCAGUGACAGCGAGUUGUUGAGCAGCCUUCAGGUUCUAGAUGCGGACACCUUUGCUUUCUGUGGCACCUCAGGUCGCCUGGGGCUUGUGGACACCCGCCAGAAGUGGGCACCGUUGGAGACUCUCAGGCCCAGCCCUGGCUCUAGUGGAGAGAGGUGGUGUGCAGACGUUAGGAACAAAGGGCAAGGCCCAGGGCCCUGCAUCGCCAGCCUUGGCUCAGAUGGGCAGCUCUGUCUCCUUGACUUCCGGAACCUCUGUCACCCUGUGAGCUCAGCCCAGUGCCCCGUGUCCAAACCCAGCCCUGACCCAGAGCUGCUGCGAGUGACUUGGGCUCCAGGCCUGGACAACUGCUUGGCUAUUUCAGGCUUUGAUGGGACAGUGCAGAUCUAUGACGUCACAUCAUGGGAUGGAAAGGAAAGCCAAGUGGAGCCUCUCUUCACUCACAAAGGCCACAUCUUCCUGGAGGGAAAUGAGGUGGACGCUGCUCCUCUGGUCACCACCCACACCUGGCACCCUUGCAAACCCAGAACUUUGUUGUCAGCGGCAAGCGAUGCCUCUCUGCACGUGUGGGACUGGGUGGACCUCCAGGCCUCCAGUUGACAGCAGCCACUUCCCUCCUGGGCCUCCUUCUGAGAAGAGGGGGAGUUGCUCGAGUGGCCGAGUGGCCGCAGGACGCUGAGUGACCACGGGCCUGUCACAGCUGUUGGCUUCAGGCAGAUGGGAACCUGGGACGGUGCGUGUGGUCUAGCGAAGGAAGGACAUAGCCAUUACAUGACCAGCCAGAUUCUUCCCGGGGACACAUCCCGAGACUCUGCAUCUCGUGAGGAAGAUCUGCCCCUCACAGGCCAACCUCCAACUCCUCACACUUGUUUCCUGAUGGGAGAGCCCCACUCCCAUGAGCUGUAACUCAGCAGCCUGACAUUAGGAGGCGGAGGAAAACAUUGGUUAAGACCUGUUGGACUCUGGCGUCCAAACACCGAGAAGGAGUCGCCCCCAGAGACCACACACCACAGCCGAUGCAAAAGCAUGAGGAUUUUUAUUAAUUCUGUCAUGACAGGGUCCCCCAGCAUUCGGGAAGCCAAGGGACCUCGAAUAGCAGGUACAGUCUACUUUUAAAGGGGCUACAG